UCCGUCGGAAUCUGGGAGGACCAUCUCCUAAGGCUAAAUACUCUCUAGUGACCGAUAGUGAACCAGUACCGUGAGGGAAAGGUGAAAAGCACCCCGGAAGGGGAGUGAAAUAGAACCUGAAACCGUGUGCUUACAAGUAGUCAGAGCCCGUUAAUGGGUGAUGGCGUGCCUUUUGUAGAAUGAACCGGCGAGUUACGAUUUGAUGCAAGGUUAAGCAGUAAAUGUGGAGCCGUAGCGAAAGCGAGUCUGAAUAGGGCGUUUAGUAUUUGGUCGUAGACCCGAAACCAGGUGAUCUACCCUUGGUCAGGUUGAAGUUCAGGUAACACUGAAUGGAGGACCGAACCGACUUACGUUGAAAAGUGAGCGGAUGAACUGAGGGUAGCGGAGAAAUUCCAAUCGAACCUGGAGAUAGCUGGUUCUCUCCGAAAUAGCUUUAGGGCUAGCCUCAAGUGAUGAUUAUUGGAGGUAGAGCACUGUUUGGACGAGGGGCCCCUCUCGGGUUACCGAAUUCAGACAAACUCCGAAUGCCAAUUAAUUUAACUUGGGAGUCAGAACAUGGGUGAUAAGGUCCGUGUUCGAAAGGGAAACAGCCCAGACCACCAGCUAAGGUCCCAAAAUAUAUGUUAAGUGGAAAAGGAUGUGGCGUUGCCCAGACAACUAGGAUGUUGGCUUAGAAGCAGCCAUCAUUUAAAGAGUGCGUAAUAGCUCACUAGUCGAGUGACACUGCGCCGAAAAUGUACCGGGGCUAAACAUAUUACCGAAGCUGUGGAUUGUCCUUUGGACAAUGGUAGGAGAGCGUUCUAAGGGCGUUGAAGCAUGAUCGUAAGGACAUGUGGAGCGCUUAGAAGUGAGAAUGCCGGUGUGAGUAGCGAAAGACGGGUGAGAAUCCCGUCCACCGAUUGACUAAGGUUUCCAGAGGAAGGCUCGUCCGCUCUGGGUUAGUCGGGUCCUAAGCUGAGGCCGACAGGCGUAGGCGAUGGAUAACAGGUUGAUAUUCCUGUACCACCUAUAAUCGUUUUAAUCGAUGGGGGGACGCAGUAGGAUAGGCGAAGCGUGCGAUUGGAUUGCACGUCUAAGCAGUAAGGCUGAGUAUUAGGCAAAUCCGGUACUCGUUAAGGCUGAGCUGUGAUGGGGAGAAGACAUUGUGUCUUCGAGUCGUUGAUUUCACACUGCCGAGAAAAGCCUCUAGAUAGAAAAUAGGUGCCCGUACCGCAAACCGACACAGGUAGUCAAGAUGAGAAUUCUAAGGUGAGCGAGCGAACUCUCGUUAAGGAACUCGGCAAAAUGACCCCGUAACUUCGGGAGAAGGGGUGCUCUUUAGGGUUAACGCCCAGAAGAGCCGCAGUGAAUAGGCCCAAGCGACUGUUUAUCAAAAACACAGGUCUCUGCUAAACCGUAAGGUGAUGUAUAGGGGCUGACGCCUGCCCGGUGCUGGAAGGUUAAGAGGAGUGGUUAGCUUCUGCGAAGCUACGAAUCGAAGCCCCAGUAAACGGCGGCCGUAACUAUAACGGUCCUAAGGUAGCGAAAUUCCUUGUCGGGUAAGUUCCGACCCGCACGAAAGGCGUAACGAUUUGGGCACUGUCUCAACGAGAGACUCGGUGAAAUCAUAGUACCUGUGAAGAUGCAGGUUACCCGCGACAGGACGGAAAGACCCCGUGGAGCUUUACUGUAGCCUGAUAUUGAAAUUCGGCACAGCUUGUACAGGAUAGGUAGGAGCCUUUGAAACGUGAGCGCUAGCUUACGUGGAGGCGCUGGUGGGAUACUACCCUAGCUGUGUUGGCUUUCUAACCCGCACCACUUAUCGUGGUGGGAGACAGUGUCAGGCGGGCAGUUUGACUGGGGCGGUCGCCUCCUAAAAGGUAACGGAGGCGCUCAAAGGUUCCCUCAGAAUGGUUGGAAAUCAUUCAUAGAGUGUAAAGGCAUAAGGGAGCUUGACUGCGAGACCUACAAGUCGAGCAGGGUCGAAAGACGGACUUAGUGAUCCGGUGGUUCCGCAUGGAAGGGCCAUCGCUCAACGGAUAAAAGCUACCCCGGGGAUAACAGGCUUAUCUCCCCCAAGAGUUCACAUCGACGGGGAGGUUUGGCACCUCGAUGUCGGCUCAUCGCAUCCUGGGGCUGUAGUCGGUCCCAAGGGUUGGGCUGUUCGCCCAUUAAAGCGGUACGCGAGCUGGGUUCAGAACGUCGUGAGACAGUUCGGUCCCUAUCCGUCGUGGGCGUAGGAAAUUUGAGAGGAGCUGUCCUUAGUACGAGAGGACCGGGAUGGACAUACCUCUGGUGUACCAGUUGUCGUGCCAACGGCAUAGCUGGGUAGCUAUGUGUGGACGGGAUAAGUGCUGAAAGCAUCUAAGCAUGAAGCCCCCCUCAAGAUGAGAUUUCCCAACUUCGGUUAUAAGAUCCCUCAAAGAUGAUGAGGUUAAUAGGUUCGAGGUGGAAGCAUGGUGACAUGUGGAGCUGACGAAUACUAAUCGAUCGAAGACUUAAUCAA
This 2485-nucleotide ribosomal RNA is filed under the name Staphylococcus aureus. Its description in RNAcentral is "partial 23S ribosomal RNA". It matches the Rfam family "Bacterial large subunit ribosomal RNA", at positions 433 to 2925 of the family's 2925-position model. The record is from RNAcentral. Lineage: Bacteria; Bacillati; Bacillota; Bacilli; Caryophanales; Staphylococcaceae.